AUAAACAUGUUUGUUUUUGUGCAAAGUAUAGUUUCAGUCGCUACAGAUUUCUAGAUUUGUAUAUAAUUUUACUUUUCAGUCUCAGAGCACUAAAUAAAAAAUUUGUUAAACCAAUCAAAUAAUAUUUUUAUGGUUUCAAUUCUAUAUAUUAACCCCUAUAAACUUGAGACCUGGAAAUAAAAAAUGUAAUGAAACUAUAAGCCGAAUUAUGAACCCCAAAUCACUUUUUUCCUAUGAUCUUAUCCAAUGAAUUAUGAUUCUGAAGACAACCAAGAGAAGCAGCUAACUAAAUGACAGAACCCCAAGUGGGCAAAUGGGAAGCCGACUUAAAUGUUUCUUUAAAUUUUAGAGAGAUUAAGUGAAAUAUACCCAAAAAAGACCCAUAUUAGUUAAAUGCCCUAGUGGUGAUAAACUCCAAAUGCCUUCUACCCUUUUGGGCCUAGAAGGACAAUAAUACCCUUGCUUUUUUGAUAACAUCAUCGGCUGAACUACGAGUUGUGUCAGAGAAGAUAUGCAGAAGAAAUUUGGUGUAGAAUUGUUUGCAGGUGUAGACCUGACUGUAGAGGACGCUUCACUGAAGAAUCUGGUGGAUAAAGAGUAUUUUUUAUACAGCCUCCAAUGGCUUCGGUAAGUGGAUCUAUUUUUUUUUUUUGAACAAAAAGUGGAUCUAUGAUAUCUUAUGGAAAAGGGUACUUGAUACUAGGAUUUCUAGUGUAGAAUAUAUAACUUAGGAGACACAGAGAGAUUUGUGUGAGAGGUAAAUCUAAAACGAAAACUGUGAUUGAGAAUUUAAAGGGUAGCAACUCGUUUACAAAAAAGGUAAGAGAAUGUGUUUGUUGCUAACACGAAUUAUUUCUGUCAACUAUUUUGUUAACGGCUAUUCCUGAAGUUGAUUGUGUAAGGAAGGCAUUAUCUGAUAAGAGGAAGGGUAGGAUGCUGGACACUGUCGAUCAUGGAAAGCACUUUCUGAACUUGGAGCUGGGUUCAGGUUCAGGUUCACACACCCAGCAAUUUGGAACGGCUGAUGUCCUACCAAACGACGACGGUUCUGAUGAUUAUGGGAUUCUAGCUUCUGCGAGAACGCAAGGAGUGAUAGCCUUACAUUGAUCAACAUCACCUGAGGUGUGAGCUUCAAUCAAGAGCAUUGUCAUGAUGGUUGCCUCGUUCACCAGUCGGUUCCUCGCCAGCUGCAAACACUUUCGAAGGGAGGAUGAUUUCUUCCAUCUUAUGAUUAAGAAAUCAAAGCACUAUCUUUGACUAGAGUUUUGGUUUUAGGAGAAGAAAAAAAAAUUGGAUAAAAGAGGAAUGAAUCAGUGAAUUGAAAGUAGGUGGUUAUUAGAGGUUGAACUAAUGCUUAGACCGAUGGAAAAUGAUGUGUGUCCUGUCCUGACACUCAAUGCAGAGAGUCUCCUGACACUCAACGCACAGGGUCUAUGGUGUAGGGAAAAGCAGGUGGUAAGGGCAAAAUGGGAAGGAAAUUUGGCGUCAAAGAUAAUGGGUAUAUUGCAAAAUAGAGGUUGGUUUAGGUGCAUUGACACCAAUUUCUCUAAAUUUUAUUGGUCCACAUAAUUUGGUGGCCUAUUGUUUUUUUUUUUUUUUUCCCACUGAAAUUUUCAUUACUACCAUAAAAAAGAUACAUCGGUGAAAUCCUGAAGCCGGCGGAAAACGUAGAAAUCCCCGGAAACUAAACCCAAACACGGGAAGCUAUAACCCAAACAGACGGGUCUUGUUCAAACUACCGAAACAUCACCUAAACCCUUACAUUCCCUCAAAAACCCAAAGUUAAACAAUAAAGGAUAACAGAACAAAGACUUAAUUGUCUAUGACUAGCCGGAGAUCUUACUACGAACUGAGCAAGCGAGCACGCAAAGGUUGUGAAGGAGAGCAGAACCUCAUCUGAACCUCAUGUUCAAGAUGACAACACCAAACCACAAAAACCUCAUCUGAACCUCCUGUCCAAGAUGACAACACCAGAGCACAAAGACCUCAUCUGAAUCACUUGUUCACGAUGACAACAACCAAACCACAAUACCAUAGGCCAAACAUAACACCAGAGGGAACCACACCUGUGAAAUUUCAUCUUCAAUCGCCCCUUCAUCUGGACACCUCCACACUUCAACCUCAUUUUAUUGCUUCACGAGUUGAAGCCACCGAGGAAGAACGACCAAAGGCAAACCAGGAACACUUAUUCAAAGGACGAGAUAUGAUACCUUUAAAACACAGCAGGUGAAGAGAUGAACUGAACUUGUCUUCAUCUCAAACCCAUAAAACCUUCGACUGCUCCUCACAACACCACCUCACUGCUUCACCGUUGCAGAACCAAAGACCAACCAAGACCAACUCUAAAAUCCAAGACAGACUAACUGGGUUCAACCCCUAACAAAGAGUUGCAACACUACCCAAAACCGAUUGUAGACACAACGGCCACAUCACAACAGAGACACCAAGGCUCAGACUUUCACCUCGCUAGGAGACGCAGAUGGAGGCCAUAGAAGGGACCAACCCUUAACCACCACCGACAAACACCACUCUACGCACCCAGAACUACAAGAGGAUCACAGAUCUGAAAAACCAAAAGCUCAUAUAGAGUAUAUUCAGAACACGGGCAACUGGAGCAGCUCUAAAAGAAAGAGGAGAAGAGAUCUAAGAGAGGAAAGGGAGAAAAUACAGUUUUCAAGAUCAGAUCCGGCGACCGCGAGGGAUGGCGGCCGCCGAGUUAGGGUUCUAUCACGAGAGCGUUUCAGAAGUAAACACUAAUCAAUUUAAUU
Brassica napus (rape) is the source of this 2768-nucleotide long non-coding RNA. RefSeq lists it as uncharacterized. The transcript is spliced from 2 exons. The record is from RefSeq and is a predicted model, not a curated record. Lineage: Eukaryota; Viridiplantae; Streptophyta; Magnoliopsida; Brassicales; Brassicaceae.